Molecule: long non-coding RNA, 2975 nt
Organism: Helianthus annuus (common sunflower)
Lineage: Eukaryota; Viridiplantae; Streptophyta; Magnoliopsida; Asterales; Asteraceae
Exons: 9
Source: RefSeq, a predicted model, not a curated record
GGGCGCCAUUCUCUCAUCUAUCUCUCAUCCUUCCUUCCUACGCUCACUUUUUUAAACCGUCUCUUCAAUUUGGAAACCUAAUAAAUUCUCUCAAUCAAUUAGUUGAAAUCAUUCUCCAAUUUGCCAAAUUGAUUUCUCUUCACACGGCUUCUCAAAACAUCACACAUUCAAUUUUACAAACCCUAAAUCUCAUCUACGGCUUCAUCUCUAGUAGCGAUUGUUCCUGGCCCUAGAAAUCCCUAAAUCUCAAGCAUUCAAACUCUCAUCUAGAUAUAGAGUUGUCGAAUCGGUUUUGAUUUUGUCGCUCAAUCGAACAAGGUUCAAUCGAAUAUUAUGAUUAUGAAGACGAAAACAAAGAAGAUUAUGAAGUGGAAGGAGUCAAGAAGUUGAUUUCGUCAGAGAAAAUGUAACAUGGUGUUUAUUGAUGUUUAUUCUAGACUUCAUUUUGAAGAUCUGACGAAGAGCAUUGGAAACUGAAUGCCAACAAUUUGAAGUUUACUCCAUGUUCAGUAUUCACUUUUUAUACUUUUUAAUCAUAUGAACAAUUUGAAGAUCUUGACUGGUAGUGUUCUAAAAGAAGACGAACUAGGGUUCUGCCAUUUCGGUACUAGUAGGAACAAAUCCGAAUUCAUACAAAUCGGGGACUAACUGGUAGUAGAAAAGGUUCUUGCUGGAGCCUUAAGGCGAGAUAUGGCUUUGAAAGGUUCUUACAAGUGUAUGUUCUUGGGUUAAUCCGACCAAAAUUUGCUAAACUCAAUUGGGACAUACACUUUGGUGGUAAGUAUACUGUGAGGAUUUUAGUGAUCGCAGUGGAUGCGGAUGCCCUUGCUUAAAUCUUUAAUUCUUGAUAACUGUGAGACGAUGAGGCCGACAUGCUUAAGCACUAUUUAGCCAACAAAGCUUCUCAUGUUCUUCAUCAAAAGGUAUUUACCCUCCUGAAAAUGAAGUUAAUUGGUUAGCUCAUCAAGGUACUUAGUUUUUAAUCUAGCAGUUUUCUUCUUUAUGAAUACAAAAAACCUUCUCUAAUGUUUAAUGGUUUAGACGCUUAUAUAAUAAAGUCUUGCGGAAUGAAAAAUAUAUUUUGACAAGUAUUCUGUUUGAACCAUCUUAAUAACUAAACAUUACGACUUGCUAAUCCUCAAAUGAUUUCAAAUAUAGUAUUGCUUGAUAAUACUGAUGUGAAAAAGAAUAUGAGCAUCGAAACUGCAUACCAAAACUCAGUCGAUACAGUUUUGAAUUGGAUCAGUAAAGAAGUAGAUACAAAUAAGACACAAGUUGUUUUCCGAAGCUUUUCUCCUGUGCAUUUCAGGUUCGCGUUGAUCUUUUAUAUCUUGAAUGUGAAUGGUCGUGUGCGUGUGUGGUGGGGGGGUAACGGGUCAGGUAAACCUAACAUUCUUUUCAUGAUUCGUCUUUAAUCUAUGUUUAUUUGUGAUCAAUCUUCGAAAAAUAACGGUAAUUGGUCCAAUUUCUAGGUCAACGAACUUGUGUUAAAGAGAUUAGUUUAUUCAGUUCAUUUUUAUAGAUCUGGUUAUGUGUUAAUUAAAGAGAUUAGUAAGUAGACUUGAAUAGGCUGGGAAGGGGCUAUUGGUCAGAAAGACACUUGCAAGUGGAUGAUUAAUAUAACAAAUACGUUUUGGAUAACUAGACUUGAUACAUAGGGCUUGCGCUGCUGUGAAGGGGACUCAAAUGCACUCUUAACUUUGACUGUAUGAACAAUUAUGGUGGUUUGUGUAUGCUUGAAUGUGUGCGCUAGAUUAAUUGGCAUGAGAUUAGCAAGAUACCAUUGUUUCGACGUUCACAAAAAAUACCAUUGUUUCCUUUUAAAAUCGAUAAGCUAAUGCGAAAACAUGAAUUAUGUAUUGUUAAUGCAAUGGUUAGUAAUGUCAAUAUAAAAAAGCCCAUAUAAGUGAAAGCAAUUUUUUUUGUAAGCAAUGGGAAUUGAAUUCAACCUUCUCAUCGAUUAAGGUAAUCGCCAUUAUCCUCUCUCUUGAUAAAUUUGUUUAUGAUUGAUGUUAAUUUAAUGUUGUUCGAUUCAUAUGUGUAAUGUUUUAUAAUUCAGAGUGGAUUUGGACUAUGCUAAUUUGUGAUUUUUUAUAUGGUGUUGGUUUGUGUAGGCUAGGGAUUUGAUUCCAUGUUUUUAGGGCUUCAUCGAAGUAUAUUCAACAGAUGUUAAGAGGAAGUAUAUGAACUUCAAGAAGUUUGAUAUUGUUGAGGACUAUUCAAUUUAGUGCUAUAUAAAAUCAAAAUCAUUAUGGUGACAGGCAAGUAGGGAUAAGCUUGGUAUUAACCGGUACCGGUACCAAAUAUUCCGGUACCGAAAAUCUACAAAAGUGAGUACCGGUACUGAAUAUACCCGAUACGGUUCAAUACCGGUAUUUGAGAGAAAAACCGGUACCGAAAAUGUCAAAAGUCGGUACUAAAUUGGUACCGAAAAUGUACUCAGUUCGGUAAAUUCGGUACCGAUAUCGGGUACCAUUUGCUCAUCCCUACGUUCAAGUUUAUUUUCAACUUUAUUUAUUUUAUUUGUUUAUUUUAUGAAAUUUUCAAUUUCCAAUGAUUCUUUUUUAACAAUUUGCAGCCACCAAUAAAUGGGCUAAAAAGUUUAUGAAGAAUGGAGGAUUCCUGAGAGGAAUUUGCCUGAUAUGAUAUAUGUUAGGGUUUAAGAAGGGAGAAAGGAUCUUUUAAGAGUGGUGAUAAUAGGAGAAGAAGUGACUCCACAUCACGAUGGGUUUUUUUCUUUGAUAUAUAUGUAUAGUGAUGGCCGUAGCAAGAAAUUCUAGAUGGCUCUGAGAAAGGGUAACUGUUUUUUGUCUGAAGACACCUUAAUUCUUAAUAAAAGUAAAAAAAUAUAAUGUUUUAUACUUUAAUGCAUUUUAAUUAUAUUUUCACUUUGUCAAUAAGUAAUUUAUGUAAUGUGUUACUUUGUAUUUAUAUUAUUUAUACACUUUGUGAUAAUGUAGAUUAAAUUUUCUGAC